This 581-nucleotide non-coding RNA is filed under the name Endocarpon pusillum Z07020. RNAcentral's name for it is "Microsporidia small subunit ribosomal RNA". It matches the Rfam family "Eukaryotic small subunit ribosomal RNA", at positions 159 to 712 of the family's 1831-position model. Lineage: Eukaryota; Fungi; Ascomycota; Eurotiomycetes; Verrucariales; Verrucariaceae. The record is from Rfam by way of RNAcentral.
UACAGCGAAUUCAGCUCACUAUUGACAUUAUUGAAGCUAUACAAGCUUCCUAAAUAGGAAAUAGAAUAGGGAUCUAUGGUGUAGUUCCUUAUUCAAAUACAUCCUCUUCGAUCCAUAGCAGAUGAUAACUUAACGAAUCGCAUGGCCUUGCGCCGGCGAUGGUUCAUUCAAAUUUCUGCCCUAUCAACUUUCGAUGGUAGGAUAGUGGCCUACCAUGGUCUCAACGGGUAACGGGGAAUUAGGGUUCUAUUCCGGAGAGGGAGCCUGAGAAACGGCUACCACAUCCAAGGAAGGCAGCAGGCGCGCAAAUUACCCAAUCCCAACACGGGGAGGUAGUGACAAUACAUACUGAUACAGGGCUCUUUCGGGUCUUGUAAUUGGAAUGAGUACAAUCUAAAUCCCUUAACGAGGAACAAUUGGAGGGCAAGUCUGGUGCCAGCAGCCGCGGUAAUUCCAGCUCCAAUAGCGUAUAUUAAAGUUGUUGCAGUUAAAAAGCUCGUAGUUGAACCUUGGGCCUGGCUGAUCUGUCUUCCUAAACGUUGUACGGAUUCGGUCGGGCCUUUCCUUCUGGGGAAUCCUAU